CUCGGGGCAGCUUUAUGCAGUAGUGAGCUCUCCAUCGCUGGAGGUAUGCAAGCUGAGACCGGACUUCAGCUGAGCAGAGUUGGCAUCAAGGAGGAGAAAGGAAAGAAAGACAUACCUCCUCCCUUUAAAGAAGACUUCUGGGAAGUUCCGUACAACACUUCCAUUGGCCACGACUUAGUCACGUGGCUACACCUACACGCCAAAACAGCCAGAGAACGAGAAAUGAGACCGACUACAACCAAAUUUGAAAUCCCUACUGAGGUUUGAAUCCAGCUUGCGGGUAUAUUUAGGUUAGCCUUGGCAGUUGUGAAUUUUGGAAAGCAUGAUUAGGCAUUUAAAUGUUAUGAGAUAACCUAAAAUAAAUCUUGGUCGCUGGUUUCUCUGGGAACUCAACGUGUAGUAAUGCUGGGCACACAUCCUGUGGCUCGCGCCGCCGAGUAGCUGCUUCCUCGUGUGCUGCUCCUCUCUCCUGUGGGUCGUCUGCAGGGCCCUUGUAGAUGUCAGAGUCCAGGACCCUGACCUUGGAGGCCCGCUGUCAAGUGCCCAGCUCACCUGCUCUCUGGAGAGCGGACCUCAGGCUGCCGUCUACUCCUGGCUGGCUCUCUGCCAUGGCCUGGGAAAGCAGUAGAGGAUGGCCCAAGUCGUUGGGCCCCUGCACCCAGUGGGGAGACCUGGAGGAGGCUCCUGGCUCCUGGCUUUGGAUCGGCACAGCUCCAGCGGUUGAAGUCAUUUGGGGAAUGAACCGGCCAAUGGAAGACCUUUCUGUCUGUCUCUCCCUCUCACUGUAUGUAACUCUACCUGUCAAAUAAAUAAAUAAAUA
This is a long non-coding RNA of Oryctolagus cuniculus (rabbit), 820 nucleotides long. RefSeq lists it as uncharacterized. NCBI's taxonomy places the organism in Eukaryota, Metazoa, Chordata, Mammalia, Lagomorpha, Leporidae. The record is from RefSeq and is a predicted model, not a curated record.